GCCAGGUGCAGUGGUGCGCACCUGUAAUCCCAGCUACUUGGGAGGCUGAGACAGGAGAAUCACUUGAACCCGGGAGGUGGAGGUUGCAGUGAGCCAAGAUCAUGCCACUGCACUCCAGCCUGGGUGACAGAGUGAGACUCCGUCUCAA
RNAcentral lists this non-coding RNA (148 nucleotides) under Homo sapiens (human). The record is from Rfam by way of RNAcentral. Lineage: Eukaryota; Metazoa; Chordata; Mammalia; Primates; Hominidae.